This is a long non-coding RNA of Selaginella moellendorffii, 392 nucleotides long. RefSeq lists it as uncharacterized. The record is from RefSeq and is a predicted model, not a curated record. The transcript has 2 exons. NCBI's taxonomy places the organism in Eukaryota, Viridiplantae, Streptophyta, Lycopodiopsida, Selaginellales, Selaginellaceae.
CGGACAAACCAUGAUUGUCGAUGGACACUUAUCCCGACGAGCGACGAACUUCCUCAUUGGUUUUCGCAGCUACGUACGCGUCCCGAAUCUGCCUAAGAAGCUACCAAUCCAGCCAUGGUUUAUGCGUGAGUGUCUUGUAGGUAGCUCAUACUUACGCUUGCCAUUCAUAACAGGCUCAUGAUACACAGCUCUUUGCUUUGACUGCUCGUGAGCAUGCAUGAUCAUUCGAGCGUGUGUGUCUGUGUGUGCGUAGUUUGCGUGAUUGAAUUGCAAAGUCAUGAGCCUUUCUCUUCUUUUGCUCUUUUUCAUUUAAAUUCCGUGGGAAAUGAUAGCACAGUCCUGCUGUUAGUUAGAUUAAGAGCUGCAUAUGGAUGACUUUGCCCGUGACGCUG